RNAcentral lists this ribosomal RNA (490 nucleotides) under uncultured bacterium. Its description in RNAcentral is "partial 16S ribosomal RNA". It matches the Rfam family "Bacterial small subunit ribosomal RNA", at positions 28 to 507 of the family's 1533-position model. The record is from RNAcentral.
GAUGAACGCUAGCUACAGGCUUAACACAUGCAAGUCGAGGGGCAGCAUGGUCUUAGCUUGCUAAGGCCGAUGGCGACCGGCGCACGGGUGAGUAACACGUAUCCAACCUGCCGUCUACUCUUGGACAGCCUUCUGAAAGGAAGAUUAAUACAAGAUGGCAUCAUGAGUCCGCAUGUUCACAUGAUUAAAGGUAUUCCGGUAGACGAUGGGGAUGCGUUCCAUUAGAUAGUAGGCGGGGUAACGGCCCACCUAGUCUUCGAUGGAUAGGGGUUCUGAGAGGAAGGUCCCACACAUUGGAACUGAGACACGGUCCAAACUCCUACUGGAGGCAGCAGUGAGGAAUAUUGGUCAAUGGGCGAGAGCCUGAACCAGCCAAGUAGCGUGAAGGAGGACUGCCCUAUGGGUUGUAAACUUCUUUUAUAAAGGAAUAAAGUCGGGUAUGGAUACCCGUUUGCAUGUACUUUAUGAAUAAGGAUCGGCUAACUCCGUG